GACGAACGCUGGCGGCGUGCUUAACACAUGCCAGUCGAACGGAAAGGCCCUGCUUUUGUGGGGUGCUCGAGUGGCGAACGGGUGAGUAACACGUGAGUAACCUGCCCUUGACUUUGGGAUAACUUCAGGAAACUGGGGCUAAUACCGGAUAGGAGCUCCUGCUGCAUGGUGGGGGUUGGAAAGUUUCGGCGGUUGGGGAUGGACUCGCGGCUUAUCAGCUUGUUGGUGGGGUAGUGGCUUACCAAGGCUUUGACGGGUAGCCGGCCUGAGAGGGUGACCGGCCACAUUGGGACUGAGAUACGGCCCAGACUCCUACGGGAGGCAGCAGUGGGGAAUAUUGCACAAUGGGCGGAAGCCUGAUGCAGCAACGCCGCGUGCGGGAUGACGGCCUUCGGGUUGUAAACCGCUGUCGCCUGUGACGAAGCGUGAGUGACGGUAAUGGGUAAAGAAGCACCGGCUAACUACGUG
Molecule: ribosomal RNA, 468 nt
Filed under: uncultured bacterium
Lineage: Bacteria
Description: partial 16S ribosomal RNA
Rfam family: Bacterial small subunit ribosomal RNA
Source: RNAcentral